GAUGAACGCUGGCGGCGUGCCUAAUACAUGCGAGUCGAGCGAACGGACGAGAAGCUUGCCUCUCUGAUGUUAGCGGCGGACGGGUGAGUAACACGUGGAUAACCUACCUAUAAGACUGGGAUAACUUCGGGAAACCGGAGCUAAUACCGGAUGAUAUUUUGAACCGCAUGGUUCAAAAGUGAAAGACGGUCUUGCUGUCACUUAUAGAUGGAUCCGCGCUGCAUUAGCUAGUUGGUAAGGUAACGGCUUACCAAGGCAACGAUGCAUAGCCGACCUGAGAGGGUGAUCGGCCACACUGGAACUGAGACACGGUCCAGACUCCUACGGGAGGCAGCAGUAGGGAAUCUUCCGCAAUGGGCGAAAGCCUGACGGAGCAACGCCGCGUGAGUGAUGAAGGUCUUCGGAUCGUAAAACUCUGUUAUUAGGGAAGAACAUAUGUGUAAGUAACUGUGCACAUCUUGACGGUACCUAAUCAGAAAGCCACGGCUAACUACGUG
This 497-nucleotide ribosomal RNA is filed under the name uncultured bacterium. RNAcentral's name for it is "partial 16S ribosomal RNA". It matches the Rfam family "Bacterial small subunit ribosomal RNA", at positions 28 to 507 of the family's 1533-position model. The record is from RNAcentral.